This 253-nucleotide ribosomal RNA is filed under the name uncultured bacterium. Its description in RNAcentral is "partial 16S ribosomal RNA". It matches the Rfam family "Bacterial small subunit ribosomal RNA", at positions 524 to 776 of the family's 1533-position model. The record is from RNAcentral.
UACAGAGGGUGCAAGCGUUGUUCGGAAUCAUUGGGCGUAAAGAGCGUGUAGGCGGCUCGAUAAGUCCGCUCUGAAAGCCCGGGGCUCAACCCCGGGAGGCGGGCGGAUACUGUCGAGCUAGAGUCCGGAAGAGGCGAGUGGAAUUCCUGGUGUAGCGGCGAAAUGCGCAGAUAACAGGAGGAACACCAAUGGCGAAGGCAGCUCGCUGGGACGGUACUGACGCUGAGACGCGAAAGCGUGGGGAGCAAGCAGG